AGUCGAGGGGUAUGCUUCUUCGGAAGCAGAGACCGGCGCACGGGUGCGUAACGCGUAUGCAAUCUACCUUUUACAGAGGGAUAGCCCAGAGAAAUUUGGAUUAAUACCUCAUAGCAUAGCAGUCUCGCAUGAGAUCACUAUUAAAGUCACAACGGUAAAAGAUGAGCAUGCGUCCCAUUAGCUAGUUGGUAAGGUAACGGCUUACCAAGGCUACGAUGGGUAGGGGUCCUGAGAGGGAGAUCCCCCACACUGGUACUGAGACACGGACCAGACUCCUACGGGAGGCAGCAGUGAGGAAUAUUGGACAAUGGGCGCAAGCCUGAUCCAGCCAUGCCGCGUGCAGGAUGACGGUCCUAUGGAUUGUAAACUGCUUUUAUACGAGAAGAAACACUGCUUCGUGAAGCAGCUUGACGGUAUCGUAAGAAUAAGGAUCGGCUAACUCCGUGCCAGCAGCCGCGGUAAUACGGAGGAUCCAAGCGUUAUCCGGAAUCAUUGGGUUUAAAGGGUCCGUAGGCGGUUUAAUAAGUCAGUGGUGAAAGCCCAUCGCUCAACGGUGGAACGGCCAUUGAUACUGUUAAACUUGAAUUAUUAGGAAGUAACUAGAAUAUGUAGUGUAGCGGUGAAAUGCUUAGAGAUUACAUGGAAUACCAAUUGCGAAGGCAGGUUACUACUAAUGGAUUGACGCUGAUGGACGAAAGCGUGGGUAGCGAACAGGAUUAGAUACCCUGGUAGUCCACGCCGUAAACGAUGGAUACUAGCUGUUGGAAGCAAUUUCAGUGGCUAAGCGAAAGUGAUAAGUAUCCCACCUGGGGAGU
Molecule: ribosomal RNA, 815 nt
Filed under: Flavobacterium sp. CS35
Lineage: Bacteria; Pseudomonadati; Bacteroidota; Flavobacteriia; Flavobacteriales; Flavobacteriaceae
Description: bacterial SSU rRNA
Rfam family: Bacterial small subunit ribosomal RNA
Source: RNAcentral